AGUACGGCGGAACACGAGAAAUUCCGUCGGAAUCCGCGGGGACCAUCCCGCAAGGCUAAAUACUCCCUAGUGACCGAUAGUGAACCAGUACCGUGAGGGAAAGGUGAAAAGCACCCCGGAAGGGGAGUGAAAUAGAUCCUGAAACCGUGUGCCUACAACAAGUCAAAGCUCGUUAAUGAGUGAUGGCGUGCCUUUUGUAGAAUGAACCGGCGAGUUACGAUUGCAUGCGAGGUUAAGUCGAAGAGACGGAGCCGCAGCGAAAGCGAGUCUGAAUAGGGCGAAUGAGUAUGUAGUCGUAGACCCGAAACCAUGUGAUCUACCCAUGUCCAGGUUGAAGGUGCGGUAAAACGCACUGGAGGACCGAACCCACGUACGUUGAAAAGUGCGGGGAUGAGGUGUGGGUAGCGGAGAAAUUCCAAACGAACUUGGAGAUAGCUGGUUCUCUCCGAAAUAGCUUUAGGGCUAGCCUCGGAAUUGAGAAUGAUGGAGGUAGAGCACUGUUUGGACUAGGGGCCCAUCUCGGGUUACCGAAUUCAGAUAAACUCCGAAUGCCAUUCAUUUAUAUCCGGGAGUCAGACUGCGAGUGAUAAGAUCCGUAGUCGAAAGGGAAACAGCCCAGACCACCAGCUAAGGUCCCAAAAUAUAUGUUAAGUGGAAAAGGAUGUGGGGUUGCACAGACAACUAGGAUGUUGGCUUAGAAGCAGCCACCAUUUAAAGAGUGCGUAAUAGCUCACUAGUCGAGUGACCCUGCGCCGAAAAUGUACCGGGGCUAAACAUAUUACCGAAGCUGUGGACUACACCAUUAGGUGUAGUGGUAGGAGAGCGUUCUAAGGGCGUUGAAGGUCGAUCGUGAGGACGGCUGGAGCGCUUAGAAGUGAGAAUGCCGGUAUGAGUAGCGAAAGACAGGUGAGAAUCCUGUCCACCGUAUGACUAAGGUUUCCUGGGGAAGGCUCGUCCGCCCAGGGUUAGUCGGGACCUAAGCCGAGGCCGAUAGGCGUAGGCGAUGGACAACAGGUUGAUAUUCCUGUACCAGUUGUUUUUGUUUGAGCAAUGGAGGGACGCAGUAGGCUAAGGAAUGCAUGCG
RNAcentral lists this ribosomal RNA (1084 nucleotides) under Enterococcus faecalis. RNAcentral describes it as "partial 23S ribosomal RNA". It matches the Rfam family "Bacterial large subunit ribosomal RNA", at positions 411 to 1497 of the family's 2925-position model. Lineage: Bacteria; Bacillati; Bacillota; Bacilli; Lactobacillales; Enterococcaceae. The record is from RNAcentral.